RNAcentral lists this long non-coding RNA (2369 nucleotides) under Sus scrofa (pig). RNAcentral's name for it is "lncRNA (ENSSSCG00055021880.1)". The record is from RNAcentral. Lineage: Eukaryota; Metazoa; Chordata; Mammalia; Artiodactyla; Suidae.
CAUUCCCUGAAUGUCCCAAAGAACAGGAGAAAAUGAGAAAAAGAAAAUUCCUUCCCCAGACAAAAGUCUAAAGUUUCCACCAACACAGAUGGUCUGACUUAAGGAAAGUUUUUACAGCCGUCUCCUUAAAAAAAAAAAAAAGUAUUUAAGUUUUCCCUAUAUGGAGGAAAAAUAAAGAGGAAAACAGCUCAAGACGUAGACUGAGAUAUCAAGUGAGAGGCCAUUCAAGCACAGGACAAUAUUGAAACGAUCAGGGUUGAUAUGGUUUUAGGGGAGAACCCUGGAGCCGGAGAGUGUAAGUGACAGCCAGCUGGAAGUCCCCCAGUGUGACUUACACACACACUUCUAUUCACCCAAGAGCGAGCCCCCACUUAGAAACGACGGCAAAUGGCAGACGGAUCGGCAGUGACCUCCCCAACCGCAGCCCCCUCCGCUCGCCCUGGCCAUGAACAAGAUGUUCUGGUGGCUUUGGUUUGGGCUUAACUGAAGGGCCUCCACCUCUCGCUGCCUUGGCCUCCAUCUCUGGCAACCAAUGGACCUCUCCCCAUCCCCACUGCAUGCAUUCGAGCCUUUUCAGGACUCCUAACUAGUGGUUAUUCAGUCAUCAUUGAGGCAGGAAUCAGAUCCUUGCCUUAUAAUCAGAGCCAGCCACUUCUCAUGGGGCUCAGCAAGUUGAUUCAAUGCCAUAGGGAAAAUCUAUCAUUCUGGGGUUUGGUUUAGACCUCCGUCGUCUUGAUUUCGUUCUCCUUCCAUCUCAGGCCAUUACCCAAAACUCUUCGGGGCUCUGACGUAAAGCAGACCUCUGUCUGAACCCAACAUCUAUCAGUAUCUGUCUGGAAAACCUUGGGCAGGUUAUCACUUAGUGGUUUGUGUGGGUUUUGGUAUGGUUGUUUCAAUUGUUUUUUGGAAGGGGUCAGAAAUAGCCCACAUUCAGAGGGUUCCAUUUACCUGUGGAAAAAACAAUCUUGGCCACACAGACAAGUUCAAAACGGAGCGCUCAUAUGCCAGAAAAUGAGGAUACGGGUUGCAUUUCCGCAAUGGCAGCCACGGUCAGGGCUGAAUCAGUGUGGAUAUAAACAAGCAAGAUGCUGCUCUGGGCUUCCGGGCGUGCGGCCACCCCCACGCCCGUGUUCCAGCAAGUGUGGCCUCGUCUGUUGCUCAGAUCACCGUGCUUGCUUCCUGCCUCAGGAUCUUUGCUUGUGCCAUUUCUUCUGGCUUAGGGUCCUCCUCCUUCAGUCAGCAGUGUCACUCGAGAGUGUCAGGCAGUUUGCCAGGGGAUGCAUUGCUGACAAAGACUGAGACCUCACGGAGCUUCUGUCCUAUGGGUGUGUGAGAAGACUGAGGCAAAUAAUCCACUGAAAGGACAAUUUUGCCGUAAGUACCAAGAACGUAAUUAAACAUAGUCAUGGUAGAAAAAGUGACCAGAUACAAGGUCAAGGAACCCCUCUUUGAGGAGGAUAUUUUGGAGAAGAGAUAUUUUGAACUGAGCUGUAAAUGGUGCAGGUCAUGCCAAUAUUUAAGGAAGGAUCAUUUCAGACAGAAGGAAUAGUGAGAGCAAAAGCCAUACGAGGGAACUUACUCCCAAGACAGCUGCCAAUGAGUUCUUCCCUCCCUGUAAAUACACGCUCCUGCCACGAAAAAGUGUGACCUAUUUCUCCUGGGUCCUUGAAUCUGGGUCGGCUUUGGCAACUCUCUUGUCUCUUAGAAUGAGACAGAAGUGACAUUCUGGCAUUUCUGAGGCCAAGGCAUAAAAUGUCCUACAGGAUCCACCUGGACCUCUGGGACCCCUCUCAUGGGAUGCUCCCCCUCGGACCCCAGGUGCCGUGUGACAAGAAUCCCAGAGGCCACACGAAGAGGCCCCAUUCAACACGCCCAGGUGAGCUCCUAGCCCACAGCCAGCAUCAACUGCCACUUACAUGAGGGGCCAACCUGGAGGUCCAGUCCAGUCCAGUCUCGUCCCGUCAACAACAGGUUGCAACUACAAGCAAAAACCCACCCAGCUGAGCCCAGGUGACCACAGAACUGGAGUAAGCAGUUGGAAAGUGCUGUGGAAACCACACCAUCCCAGGGUGAUUUGUUACACAGCAGGGAGGAACCCGAACACCCUAGGACUCUUCUCUGACUAUCUCCUGCCCAUUAAUCCUUAUUAAGUCCUUCUCAUAUUUCAACUCAAACCUAAUCCCACAGAGCAAACUUCUUCACAACCCUCACCCCAGAGGCUCAGACACCCUCCUGUGUAUUUUCACAGCAACAGAAGCUUCUCCUUCACAGCACUUGCAUCGAGCUACACUUUGUAUUUCUCUUUUUAUAUAAUUCAAUGAAUUUUAUUAUACUUAUAGUUGUACAACCAUCACCACAACCUACUUUUA